ACGCACGCUGGCGGCGUGCUUCACACAUGCCAGUCGCACGGAAAGGCCCUGCUUUUGUGGGGUGCUCGAGUGGCGAACGGGUGAGUAACACGUGAGUAACCUGCCCUUGACUUUGGGAUAACUUCAGGAAACUGGGGCUAAUACCGGAUAGGAGCUCCUGCUGCAUGGUGGGGGUUGGAAAGUUUCGGCGGUUGGGGAUGGACUCGCGGCUUAUCAGCUUGUUGGUGGGGUAGUGGCUUACCAAGGCUUUGACGGGUAGCCGGCCUGAGAGGGUGACCGGCCACAUUGGGACUGAGAUACGGCCCAGACUCCUACGGGAGGCAGCAGUGGGGAAUAUUGCACAAUGGGCGGAAGCCUGAUGCAGCAACGCCGCGUGCGGGAUGACGGCCUUCGGGUUGUAAACCGCUUUCGCCUGUGACGAAGCGUGAAUGACGGUAAUGGGUAAAGAAGCACCGGCUAACUACGUG
Molecule: ribosomal RNA, 467 nt
Filed under: uncultured bacterium
Lineage: Bacteria
Description: partial 16S ribosomal RNA
Rfam family: Bacterial small subunit ribosomal RNA
Source: RNAcentral